AACGAACGCUGGCGGCAUGCCUAACACAUGCAAGUCGAACGAGACCUUCGGGUCUAGUGGCGCACGGGUGCGUAACGCGUGGGAAUCUGCCCCUUGGUUCGGAAUAACUUCGGGAAACUGAAGCUAAUACCGGAUAAUGACGUAAGUCCAAAGAUUUAUCGCCAAGGGAUGAGCCCGCGUAGGAUUAGCUAGUUGGUGGGGUAAAGGCUCACCAAGGCGACGAUCCUUAGCUGGUCUGAGAGGAUGAUCAGCCACACUGGGACUGAGACACGGCCCAGACUCCUACGGGAGGCAGCAGUGGGGAAUAUUGGACAAUGGGCGAAAGCCUGAUCCAGCAAUGCCGCGUGAGUGAUGAAGGCCUUAGGGUUGUAAAGCUCUUUUACCCGUAGAUGAUAAUGACAGUAUCGGGAGAAUAAGCUCCGGCUAACUCCGUGCCAGCAGCCGCGGUAAU
Molecule: ribosomal RNA, 451 nt
Filed under: uncultured bacterium
Lineage: Bacteria
Description: bacterial SSU rRNA
Rfam family: Bacterial small subunit ribosomal RNA
Source: RNAcentral